UGGAGUGGGCCAGCUUUAAUGAACCUGUCUAAAAGGAAGGAAGAGAAAGAGCUCAGCUCCUUAGGGGAACAAGGUGGACCUUGGCAGCUGUCUCACUCCUCACCAGCUCUUCACCUCAGAUCUUGUCCUGACUUCCUGGUCCACUAACGGCCUCCUGGAUAGAAGAGUCAGUUCACCAGCCCAGGAGAUGUUCUGAAAAUUGACAAUGAUCAUGAUAUACCCUGGAUCCAGAAUACUUCUCUAUACAAUGGGCAGAGAACAAAGAUUGGUGGCUUCCUCCUGAGCACACUGGGAUGUGGCAUUACAUCGGGGCUGCUGAGUGCCCUUACCUUCAGCUGCCCAGAUGCAGAGGCAGUUCCACAAGGUACUGGCACAAGAAGAGUCGUGGAAGACUGACCUGGCCAUGGCUUCUCAUGUCCCAGCUCAGGACCUGCCACAUCAAUUCUCCCUUUCCUCUGGCCGUCACGUGUGGAGUGAAAUUCUCAGAAGCGGCUGUCCCUGUGCACCUCUCUGGCUGUGUCCAGAAAAUGAACAUCUGUUUACAGCUUCAAUUUUCUAAUGAUUAGAAUGCCACAAACAAGAAAACCCAGAGGAAAGCUGUUGAUGCUGAAAUGUUUCCUUCCUCUACAUAUUCCAUGAUGCGUCCUGUGGGGUUAUGCAAACAGUAAUAUCUCAUUAAAUAUUCUGGUCUCUUGGAAAAAAAAAAAAA
Molecule: long non-coding RNA, 709 nt
Filed under: Homo sapiens (human)
Lineage: Eukaryota; Metazoa; Chordata; Mammalia; Primates; Hominidae
Description: long independently transcribed non-coding RNA 544 (LINC00544)
Source: RNAcentral